This 218-nucleotide long non-coding RNA is filed under the name Lynx canadensis (Canada lynx). Its description in RNAcentral is "lncRNA (ENSLCNG00005004419.1)". The record is from RNAcentral. Lineage: Eukaryota; Metazoa; Chordata; Mammalia; Carnivora; Felidae.
GCGGUGACUCAAACAAUGCAAGCGAAAAGUGGCUUUGAAGACAGUGUCUUAAGGUGAACAAAUAUGUUCUACAAGCAGUAUCAGGUCAGCAUGGCACUGAAAUUCCUUGGGCUCCCAGAGAGUUUAAGGCUUCAAUGAAGAGAGGAGAUUUAUUUUACACCGAAGAGAAAGACUAACCUUGAGAUUCUUCCAAGUGCUAGAUAGAAGUCCAUGCCUUC